UACGUAGGUGGCGAGCGUUGUCCGGAUUUACUGGGCGUAAAGGAUGCGUAGGCGGAUAUUUAAGUGAGAUGUGAAAUACCCGAGCUUAACUUGGGUGUUGCAUUUCAAACUGGAUAUCUAGAGUGUGGGAGAGGAGAAUGGAAUUCCUAGUGUAGCGGUGAAAUGCGUAGAGAUUAGGAAGAACACCAGUGGCGAAGGCGAUUCUCUGGACCAUAACUGACGCUGAGGCAUGAAAGCGUGGGUAGCAAACAGG
RNAcentral lists this ribosomal RNA (253 nucleotides) under uncultured bacterium. Its description in RNAcentral is "partial 16S ribosomal RNA". It matches the Rfam family "Bacterial small subunit ribosomal RNA", at positions 524 to 776 of the family's 1533-position model. The record is from RNAcentral.